Oryzias melastigma (Indian medaka) is the source of this 740-nucleotide long non-coding RNA. RefSeq lists it as uncharacterized. Lineage: Eukaryota; Metazoa; Chordata; Actinopteri; Beloniformes; Adrianichthyidae. The record is from RefSeq and is a predicted model, not a curated record. The transcript has 2 exons.
ACCCUACUCUUUUAGUCUUUUAUGGGCAUUACCUGUCUCAUCUAGAUAAUCACUAGUAGUAUUGAUGGUAAUACAUAAAAAAAACAGCUGAAUAGCAAACCUAAAGGACCUUGAGACCACUGGUCUGGGAACAGUAUGCUGGCUCCACCACUAAGGUGAAUAAAGGUUGUAUGGCCCUCACAAAAUACAAGAUCAAAGACAUUUCGGGGUUCUCCGACAACAGGAAUGCUCAUGCACAUUUUGGUAACAUUCAUGGUAAGGAUGAAGUGAAGGAGGUGAGAUGCAGAUGUGUUGUACGUUUCAUAUCACGUGCACACUCUGUGCUUGUACUGUUUGUGUGGUGAGUAAGAGGCCAGCACUCACACCGUAAUAAUGACUAGAGGCUACUGUACAACAUCCCCUGUACAGCACAAGUGCAUACAACCUCCAUUAUCCUUACUUAUACUUCACAAUACCCUCACCAAACCAACAACAAUAGUGUGCUUAAUUUUCAUGACGUCCCUUAAGGUGGCCAUGUGAGCCUCAAGGGAACUUCAAGACACACCUGUGCUCCCUUUAAGAUGCAGUUACUCCUGUUUAAGACUCUGCACAAACCCCAACAACCCAAAUACCAAUACAGGUCAACCCCCUGUGUGGGUGCAUAUGACUUCAGUGGAGCCUGAUGAAGUGAACAAAUUUAGAUUGUAAAAAAAGGAUCAUUCUAUCUACAUAACAGUAACGCUAGUAAAAAAAAAAAGAAA